UUAAAUAAAUUUUUAAAAAAUAAACAGUUUGUAUCACAUUUAAUGUACAUUAAAAUGUGAUAUGUGUCCUUUUCAAUCUAUGUUGUGCUCAAGGAAUGCAAGAUUUGGAAUCCUGUCUAUCUUCUAAUUGGUUUACAUAAUUUAACUUUAGCAUGGAGUGUUUUUGAAUGUUUGUUAAACCUUUUUAACUGGAGUAUUCUCUUAAUCCAAAGAUCAGGUUAUCUCUUCCUUUCUCAGUUGCACAACAUUGAUUCAGCUAGAGAUUGAGACAGUGGAAGAAAUGAAUAUUGUAAAUUUGAAAAUAGCCUCAUGAAGGAUGUCUCAUAUUUGUCAUUUCUUUAAUUUACUAAACAUUAAUUUACUAAAAAAAAAAAGCUUGCUUUUUCCUUACUAGGUUUUAUGACUUUAAAAAUAUUCCUGUUAUAAGUAUGGUCAUUAUUUGAAAAUUAUAAAUGAGAUAUAGUCAAAGUUAUUCCACAACUUUUUUCAACAAUGUGAUUAUUUUUAGCAUUUCAUACAGGUAAUUCUGAAUUCUUUUGGAAUUAGAGUAUUCUGUAAUAUAUAAAGUAUGAUAAGUAUUAAUAAAGUAUUAAACCUCCUUCUAGGGCAUUCACUCUUAUCUCCAGGCAAAGUAUAGAUUUUAUCAUUUGCAGAUACUUGGGUGAGUGCCCACAGUACUCAAGGAUAAGUUUUUUUGGAGGUUAUAUUACUUUAACCACAAAUAGAAGAUUAAGCAGACCCAUAAUAGGACACAGCUAUUAAAUCAUGAAAUAGACCAGGUGUGGUGGCUCACACCUGUAAUCCCAGUCCAUUAUAGGACUUCCUUUAUGGGUUAGUAACAGCUACAAACCAGAAGGGCAAAUGUAUUACUUCAUAACACAGUGUUGUAAUAUUUCAUGAUUUUGAUUGUUUGUUUAUUUUGAGACAGAGCCUCUUUCUUUCGCCAGGCUGGAGUGCAGUGACACCAUCUCGGCUCACUGAAAUCUCCACCUUCCAGGUUCAAGUGAUUCUCCUGCCUCAGCAUCCAUAGUAGCUGGGAUUACAGGUGUGCACUACCACACCCAGCUAAUUUUUGUGUGUUUUUUUUUUUUUUUGUAGAGACAGGGUUUCACCACGUUAGCCAGGUUGGUCAUGAUCUCCUGACUUUGUGAUCCACUCACUUUGACCUCCAAAACUGCUGGGAUUACAGGUGUGAGCCACCACGCCUGGUCUAUUUCAUGAUUUAAUAGCUGUGUGGCCUUUCUGGACAAACCAUGAUAUAAAACUCAGUACCAAGUUUUCCUUCCUUGUAAUGGCAAAACUUCUGUUAAAAAAUAUAAAGUGUUCUCUCUUAUUUACAAAAAAGUAGUUUUUGUUGGUUUCAACUCAGGUUACCUAGGUUUCUGAAAGACAGGGUGUCUCCUUGGAUCAUUGGAGUCAGUCUGUCAGACAGAAAACAUUCCUCCUACCACCAACCCACUGAAUCAUUCCUGUGAAGUAUAAUUAACUAGUAUCAAGUGACAGCAAUGAAAUGAUUUCUGAAUUAUUCUCUUCUUUAUAUGCCGGAAGCUUACCGUGGUUAUUUUUUUUUUAAUGUAAUAUUUAUACUAAUUAUCAUUUGCUUUUUGACAGGAAACACAUUAGGACAACUCUCUCACUCUUCCUAUGACUCAUGCAUUUACAUCUUGAGUCUUGAUCUUUAAGCCAAUUCUAGCCACAUACCUUCUGCUUCAUAUCAGACUGUAUCACUUUUCCUGUUAUCCUGCUAGAACUUUUUAUUCGAUGUAUCCCAAACUCAUCCUGCCUUCCUUCACACACAGAUCUAUCUCUUGGUCAAGCUUCUGGUUUCUGUCAAUAUCCCUUCCCUUCCCAUUUGCUCAGCCCAGAACCUCACAGCCAUGUAUAUAUAUAUAUAUAAUUUUUUUCUUUGUUUUCUUUGUUCUAUUUUCAUUUCCUUAUUUUUUAAAAUCAUUAUAUGAGUGUGUGUGUAAACAUGCAAACACACAUAUAUAUAUAUUUUGGGACAGGAUCUCACUCUAUCACCCAGGCUGGGGUGCAGUGGUGUGAUCUUGGCUCACUAUAACCUCUGCCUCCCAGACUCAAGGAAUCCUCCCAUCUCAGCCACCCAAGUAGCUGCAACUAUAAGCUUGCACCACCAUGCCUGGCUAAUUUUUGUAUUUUAGUAGAGAUGGUUUCACCAUGUUGCCCAGGCUGGUCUUGAACUCCUGAGCUCAGAUGAUCUGCCUGUCUUAGCCUCCUAAAGUGCUGGGAUUAUAGGCAUGAGCCACUGCGCCCAGCCCAUAUAUAUAUUUUUUAAUUUCAACUUUUAUUUUAGAUAUAGAAGGUAUAUGUGCAGAUUUGUUACAGGGAUCUGUUGCACCCAGGUAGUGAGCAUUGUACCCAACAAGUACUUUUUCAACCCACACCACACUGCCUCCUUUCCUCCUCCAGUAGUCCACAGUGUCUACUGUUCCCAUGUUUAUGUCUAACACAGCUAUAUUUGAUGCUUCCCUUUUUUAAGUUUCCUGUCCAUUCCAUUUCCAUGCCUUGUCUGACCUUUCUUUCAAAAUAUUUGCUCUGUUUCAAAAUGCUUCUGUAGUCCAAGGAAAAGUCAAACGUAAACAAAAAGAGGAGCAUCUCUUCUGGUGAGACUGGAGAAAAGGAUUUAAGGUACAAUGUGAAUGGAAACGAAGGCACUGAGAGAAUAUAGCAGUCGAAGGGUGGAGAGGCAAAAAUCUGCUAUCAUGGAGUUUAAGUUCUAAUGGAAAGUGACACCAAACAAAGGAAAUGGAUAAAUUAAGUAAUUUUAAAUAGUAAAUUAAAAGACAGGGCCUUACUCUGCCACCUGGCUGGAAUGCAAUAGCGUGACAUUGGCUUACUGCAUCCUGGACUCAAACUGAUCCCCCUGCCUCAGCCUCUCAAACAGCUGGAACUACAGGAAUGUGCCACCAUGCCUGGAAAAUUUUUGUGUUUUUUGUAGAGAUGGGGGUUUCAUCAUGUUUCCUCGGUUGGUCUCGAACUUCUGGACUCAAGGAUCUGCCUGCCUUGGCUUUCCAAAGUGCUGGCAUUAUGAGUGUUAGCCACCACUCCCAGCCUUAAUACAUUUUUGAAUUUGAUUUGGCAAAAUCGUAUUUAACAUUACUUCAUCUAUAGCCAUAACUGCUAUUUUGUUUAAUUUCCUUUCUUUUUGUUUCUUUCUCUUACUCUCUCUUUCCUCAAGUCCUCUCCCUUGGUUAUUGUUUUUUGUUUGUUUUUACAUUUGUCAACUGUUGGUAUCAGAUUUGUACACCUGAUAAAUCAAUUUGGAAGUUUUUUCUUUUUAGUUAUAUCACAUGGUAUUCUAAAAGAAUUUGUUGCUAAUAACCAUCUGGCUCUAUAAUCUUCUUAUAUUUUCCCAGAAAAAAGUUAUGUGUUCAUUUAUGCUUCUACCUAGCAUAUAUUCUUUUUAUUAUUUCUGGUUUUCCCUAUGAGCUCAGAUACAAAGUUGGAAAAGAAGGUUCCCUAGGGUAUAAUCAAGGUAAGGAUAAUGACCAGAAGUUCUCAUAGGUAAUGAUUCGUACUUUUAUAAAUAUAUUUCUAUGUAAAAUAUUCUAAACAUACAUGAAAAGAUAAGAAGGAUGAACAUUUGAGCUGCCACAACCCAUCUUUGUCAAAUGGGAACACUGUCUCUCUUUUUUUAAACUUUAUAACUUUCAGUAGGAUCACUUCUUUUGGAACUGAAUCUUGAUGCUACCUAUAUUAUGAAUUUUAGCUAUGUUUGAUACAGUUAUUUCUCAUUGUCUUGGAAUGAUUACUUUGAAUAUUUCAUCAUGUGAUUUUGUUAAAAAAUGGUAA
This is a long non-coding RNA of Callithrix jacchus (white-tufted-ear marmoset), 3813 nucleotides long. RefSeq lists it as uncharacterized. NCBI's taxonomy places the organism in Eukaryota, Metazoa, Chordata, Mammalia, Primates, Cebidae. The record is from RefSeq and is a predicted model, not a curated record.